This 220-nucleotide ribosomal RNA is filed under the name uncultured bacterium. RNAcentral's name for it is "partial 16S ribosomal RNA". It matches the Rfam family "Bacterial small subunit ribosomal RNA", at positions 32 to 240 of the family's 1533-position model. The record is from RNAcentral.
AAUCAACGCUGGCGGCGUGCCUCAGACAUGCAAGUCGAACGAUUAAAGUUCUCUUCGGAGAGUGUAUAGAGUGGCGCACGGGUGAGUAACACGUAAGUAAUCUACCUUUGAGUGGGGAAUAACCCGGGGAAACCCGAGCUAAUACCGCAUAAUGCAGCGGCACCGCAAAGGGUGACAGUUGUUAAAGGAGCAAUCCGCUUAAAGAGGAGCUUGCGGCAGA